Molecule: ribosomal RNA, 1348 nt
Filed under: metagenome
Description: bacterial LSU rRNA
Rfam family: Bacterial large subunit ribosomal RNA
Source: RNAcentral
UGAAUACGAGAUGCUACGGCGUCGAAGCAGUGUAUGUCAGACUUCCAAGAAAAGCUCGCAAGGUCAUAAAUAAAGAAUGCCUGUACCAUAACCGACACAGGUGGGUAGGUAGAGUAUACUAAGGGGCGCGAGAUAACUCUCUCUAAGGAACUCGGCAAAAUAACUCCGUAACUUCGGGAGAAGGAGUGCCUUCUAUUAGAAGGUUGCAAUAACAAGAUCCAAGCAACUGUUUAUCAAAAACACAGGUCUCCGCUAAGUCGUAAGACGAUGUAUGGGGGCUGACGCCUGCCCAGUGCCAGAAGGUUAAAGAAGUUGGUUAGCUUUGGCGAAGCUGAUGACUGAAGCCCUGGUGAACGGCGGCCGUAACAAUAACGGUCCUAAGGUAGCGAAAUUCCUUGUCGGGUAAGUUCCGACCCGCACGAAAGGCGUAAUGAUUUGGAUACUGUCUCGGAGAGGGACUGGCGAAAUAGACUUGUCUGUGAAGAUGCGGACUACCUGCACCAGGACAGAAAGACCCUAUGAAGCUUUACUGUAACUUGAAAUUGAAAUUGGACUUUAUUUGCGCAGCAUAGGUGGAAGGCGUGGAAGGUAUUCUUGCGGGAGUACUGGAGCCAUCAGUGAGAUACCACUCCUAUAAUGUUAGAUUUCUAACUUUGGAUCAUAAUCUGGUCAAAGAACAGUUUCAGGCGGGCAGUUUGACUGGGGCGGUCGCCUCCCAAAUGGUAACGGAGGCGUACAAAGGUUUCCUCUGAACGGGUAGAAAUCGUAUCUAGAGUGUAAAGGCAUAAGGAAGCUUGACUGUGAGACCUACAAGUCGAGCAGGGACGAAAGUCGGUCUUAGUGAUCUGACGGUGCUGAGUGGAAAGGCCGUCACUCAACGGAUAAUAGUUACUCUAGGAUAACAGGCUGAUCUCCCCCAGGAGUUCACAUCGACGGGGAGGUUUGGCACCUCGAUGUCGGCUCAUCGCAUCCUGGGGCGGUAGUACGUCCCAAGGGUUGGGCUGUUCGCCCAUGAAAGCGGUACGCGAGCUGGGUUCAGAACGUCGUGAGACAGUUCGGUCCAUAUCCGGUGUAGGCGUUAGAAUAUUGAGAGGAGCCUUCUUUAGUACGAGAGGACCGAGAAGGACAUACCUCUGGUGUACCAGUUAUCGUGCCAACGGUAAACGCUGGGUAGCUAUGUAUGGAGAGGAUAACCGCUGAAAGCAUCUAAGUGGGAAGCCCACCUCAAGAUGAGUAUUCUCAUCACGAAAGUGAGUAAGGUCACGGUAAGACUAACCGUUCGAUAGGCAUUAAGUAUAACUAUAGUAAUAUAGGAGCUGAGAUGUCCUAACAGACCGAGGACUUGAAU